UUUCCGGUUGAUCCGCCGCCGGCCACCGCUAUCAAGUUCCGACUAAGCCAUGCGAGUCAAGGUAUCGUAAGAUGCCGGCAAACUGCUCAGUAACACGUGGAUAAUCUAACCUUGAGUAAGGGAUAACCUCGGGAAACUGAGGAUAAUACCUUAUAAUUGCUUAAAACUGGAAUGUUUAAGCAAUAAAAGUUCCGACGCUCAAGGAUGAGUCUGCGACCUAUCAGGUAGUAGGUGGUGUAAUGGACCACCUAGCCUCAGACGGGUACGGGCCCUGGGAGGGGUAGCCCGGAGAUGGACUCUGAGACAUCAGUCCAGGCCCUACGGGGCGCAGCAGGCGCGAACACUGUGCAAUGCGCGAAAGCGCGACACGGGGAGCUCGAGUGUCUUGGCAUAGCCAAGACUUUUCUCAUUCCUAAAAAGCAUGAGGAAUAAGUGCUGGGUAAGACGGGUGCCAGCCGCCGCGGUAACACCCGCAGCACAAGUGGUGGUCACUUUUAUUGAGCCUAAAGCGUUCGUAGCCGGUUUUGUAAAUCUUUAGAUAAAGCCUGAAGCUUAACUCCAGAAAGUCUGAAGAGACUGCAAGACUUGAGAUCGGGUGAGGUUAAACGUACUUUCAGGGUAGGGGUAAAAUCCUGUAAUCCCGGAAGGACGACCAGUGGCGAAAGCGUUUAACUAGAACGAAUCUGACGGUAAGGAACGAAGGCUAGGGUAGCAAACCGGAUUAGAUACCCGGGUAGUCCUGGCUGUAAACACUGCCCAUUUGAUGUUGCUUUUCCGUUGAGGGAAGGCAGUGUCGGAGCGAAGGUGUUAAAUGGGCCGCUUGGGAAGUAUGGUCGCAAGACUGAAACUUAAAGGAAUUGGCGGGGGAGCACCGCAACGGGAGGAAUGUGCGGUUUAAUUGGAUUCAACGCCGGA
This 915-nucleotide ribosomal RNA is filed under the name uncultured archaeon. Its description in RNAcentral is "bacterial SSU rRNA". It matches the Rfam family "Archaeal small subunit ribosomal RNA", at positions 1 to 922 of the family's 1478-position model. The record is from RNAcentral.